CUAAUCACUGUUUAGUUCAGAAGGUUCUAAGACAUGAAAGGAUUCUGGGAAAGGUGCUUCCUUGGAGACUUUACAGGGCCUAAAGCUCAUUGUGAUAACUGCACGAUGCUGACAAGACAAUGCCUCCCUUCCCUGACUGUAAGGUUGUCCCUACUGGUUUAUUCACUUUGGAGGCGCCUGGCUCCGUAUUCCUCAGGUACUGCUGGAUGAGGCUGUCUGGAAGACAAAAGUCGCCAUACCCUGAGAUAAGCAGUCAUGUUGAUAUCUGGAUUCUAAAAAUCCACAACUAGACUGGAGAAAUGUUCUGUAUCCUGGAUUCAAGUCCUAGCCCACGAACUGGCCCUUAAAAAUUUAGCUCAUAAAUAUUUGAUUGAAGGAAUGAAUUUAAUAAGUGCUACCUUCUGCACUAAGUAUUUAUUCAGAGAAUACAAAGAUGAAUGAGAUACAGUUGCUACCCUCCAGGGGCCAACAGCCCAGCUCCAAAGGCUCACCUACCUUGGUGAACACCCACCUUGGUGAAGGCAUCUAGGGUGGACUCCUCCGACAUCUCAUCCUUCCCAGGUGGAUAGUGAGCUGACUUCACAUUUAUCACUUUGUACCUAAAGUGUCCUCCUCCUAUUUGGUUGAUGGUGGUAGCUCCCCCCACCCACCCACACUCCAAACCUCAAGUCCUCUUGGAGGCCUGUGUUUUCUUUUCCUCAACUCCCACAGCCAGGUCCAAAUGACUAUGCCUGUCUAGUGGCUUUCAGAGUUGACUCAUUCUUGCCAUUGCAUGCCCAUGGUUUCAUCCCUGAAACAGGGCCUCACUUCCUUGGCAUCUCCCCACUGCUCCUCUCUUUCCCCACCAGGCUGUUCUCUGCCCUUACACCAGGUGCUUCAAAACCCUUAGUGGCUCCUCAUUACUUACAAAUGAAGUCCAUACACUUUAGCAAGGCUUUCAAGGCCUCCACAAUCCGAUGCCAGCCAACUUUUCCAUUCUUAUUCCACUCUAAGCCUCCUCCCCACAGCAGCUUGGGAUCCAACCCCAAAACACCACUGGCCUUCUUUCAGACACAUAUCUCCCCAGUACCCUACCUCUAGGCAUUUGUCAUGCUGUCACCUGGGCCUGGAACAUGUUCUAGCUGACAGGCCAGCUUCUCCAGGAAGCCCUCCCUAAUCUGCAAAUUAGAACAUUCUCUGGGUUGUCGUGGGAUUCUGCUUGUCCCCUCUAAAAUAAAACAACCUUGUGUUGUAGUUACACACAUGCAAUGUCUUAUCUCCCUGCCCCAUCAGGCUGCAAGCUUCUUGAGGGCAGGAACCUGGUCUUGAACCCCAGUGUUCUAUCACUGUGUGCUCAGUGGGAGCAAAGAAUCAACAGCUGUUAUUAUCCUUCAGAUUUAUGCUUCUUGGGGAGCCAUGCCCUGGGGCACACUUUACCUUCUUUGUCCCAGGCUGCUUCUCUAUAAAUAUUAACCUUUCUUUCCUAGUCUACACUCUCAGAGAGUAGUAGAAAGAGAGUAGGGUGUAGUAGUAGAGAGAUUGCUUAUCUCUCUCUGUGGCGAUGGCUAUGCUUCACCUUGCCUUCUAGUUCAUGGUACGCAUCCCUGCCUCUCACACUGGCCCAUUGCUUCACACCCAAGGGCAUAAAUAAAAGCCACUCUCUAAACUUUGCCAUGCCACAAAGACCUGGGCCCAAUCUGUGAACCUGAUUUGGCUCUGGCGUGGGGAUUUGGAAAAGCUUCCCAUGCGAUUCUGACAUGCACCUUCAUUAGGUACAUUUGGCUGCAACUUUUUUAAAAAAUGAGGAGUCCAGAGUCUUCUACAGUCCCUUGAGCAGGGAUUUGCACACAGAAGACACUCAAUAUCUUGUUAUUGAAUAAAGUAGAUACCAAUGUAGCCCUCUGGCCAACCUAGAGAGAGCUUGUAAGGCAUUUCCCCUUCAGUUCCAGAUGCAACUUCAAUGAUCUAUUUGCCAAUGGGGCAGUAGAUCUGGAGGAGUUUAUCGGUCUAGGGAAGAGCCAGGGCCUAGUUUUAAUAAUGAGGCCAGUAGCACCUGCUGGACAGGGCUGGGCGGCAUACCAGUGAAGGGAAGGGGCUCCCAUGGACCUACCUGCCAGCCUACAGGUGGGGCCACUACUCACCACCGAUGGGAGAAACAGCAUAAGGAAGAGAUAAUGAGGUAGUUUGUGGUAUCAGAGCUAAGCCUAUGGGCUUCUAGUUGGCCUAAUCUUUCAAACACAGUUUCACACUGAUUCUUAACAUUUUGUUCAACUUUUACUCAGAGGGCAGGCUGAGCCAGGGAGCAAAAAGGCAAAGGACUCCUACUCACAUACCCACUUAGCAAAACCAAAGCACCUUGGGCUUUGAACCCACCCUUCUUAGAAGGCAGGUUUGGGGGUUGAGGCCCCUUGAGAAGCUCACUUCACCCUCUCCCCAUGCCAUCCCAUUCCUACCCAUCCCAAGAUGCUUCUCUUGUAUUUCUUUCAGCACAUCCAGCCAUCUCCCUGGGAGCGUUUCAUAUCUGACUCUUUAUACUUCCAGUGAUGUUUUGGCAUCCCUAAUAGACUGGCUCCCAAGGCAGUCUUUAAUCAGGAGUCUUCCCCUAAUCUAGCUCCUCAAGAACCCAAGGGAAGAGGCACAAAGAGAAGUAUGAAUAGGAAGAUAGAAGGGUAACCCAGUCAGAGAGGGAGUGGCAGAUGACACUGCUGAAAAGGAGUUUCCAGAGAGUUGCACACCAUGAGCCACGCUGUCUGUCCCUGACCACAACCUCCACUGGCCACCACCUCCUGGGCUUCCCCUCCCUCCACCCACAGAAACCAUUGCUCAAUCUCAACUGGACUCUUGCAGGCCUAUCUCUCCCUCCAAACAGAGAUGUCCUGGACACAGAGCUGCAGACCUCUAACCACUCCUGGAACAUAAAAAAACCCACGGUGGUUCUACAGCAUUUACACCUCCAGUUUCCCUCAGACAGAAUCCAGAAGAGAAGAACCUCGCUGAUCUCUGAGCGGAGCAUGUCUCCAAGCUCAGGCCAGCCCCAGAACUCCAAUGGCCUCAACUGGAGUGGAAAUCCCUCAAAGGCACAAACCCAGUUCCUACCAUCUCCCUCAGUGCCUGGCAAUGUUUGUGGUUGGUUGAGUGAGUUAACAGGAGACCAUCUUUUGGCCUUUUUUCUACCUCUGUUUUCUCUUACUAUACUUGCCUACAUCUCAUCUUCUGGUCAACACCAGGUACUCACCCCAUGAGCUUCUUGUGAACUUGUCUGGGGCCCACCGGCCUAAACAUCAUCUUUUUUGUUUGGAAUUAAGCUUUGUUGAACUUUUCACAGGUUUCAUUUAUGCAAAUGCCUGUGAUGGGACAAAAAGGUCUGCAAACAUGGAAACCUGGUCUAAAGAUGUCCAAAGUAAACUGUCUGUGGAGUCGAAUGACAUUUGAGCCCUGGACCUAAACUCCAAAUCCAAGCUCUUUCCCACUGUGACCUUGGGCCUCUCAAGGCUCAGUUUCCUCACCUAUAAACUGUAGAGAAGCCAAUAACAGACUCAUCCACACUAUGAGGCUGUGCAUAAGGUCAUGUAUGUAAAACUACUUGCUUUGUUGAUCAUUCUGUCCCAGAUAAGUAUGAAUUAUUAUGCAUCAUUUCAUUAAACAAGAAAGCUUCACUGUGUU
RNAcentral lists this long non-coding RNA (3642 nucleotides) under Homo sapiens (human). RNAcentral describes it as "non-protein coding lnc-XCR1-1:1". The record is from RNAcentral. Lineage: Eukaryota; Metazoa; Chordata; Mammalia; Primates; Hominidae.